RNAcentral lists this ribosomal RNA (253 nucleotides) under uncultured bacterium. Its description in RNAcentral is "partial 16S ribosomal RNA". It matches the Rfam family "Bacterial small subunit ribosomal RNA", at positions 524 to 776 of the family's 1533-position model. The record is from RNAcentral. RNAcentral also lists the same sequence under 2 other names.
GACAGAGGGGGCAAGCGUUGCUCGGAAUUACUGGGCGUAAAGGGCGCGUAGGCGGAAUGGCAAGUCGGUCGUGAAAUCCUUCGGCUCAACCGAAGAACGUCGAUCGAAACUGCCGUUCUUGAGGAUUGCAGAGGAGACUGGAAUUCCCGGUGUAGCGGUGAAAUGUGUAGAGAUCGGGAGGAACACCGGUGGCGAAGGCGGGUCUCUGGGCAAUUCCUGACGCUGAGGCGCGAAAGCGUGGGGAGCAAACGGG